GGGGUCGUAGUUUAGCCUGGAAGAACGCUGGCCUCGGGCGCCAGUAACCUGGGUUCAAAUCCCAGCGGCCCCA
This is a transfer RNA of 73 nucleotides. It matches the Rfam family "tRNA". From Rfam's summary of the family: Transfer RNA (tRNA) molecules are approximately 80 nucleotides in length. Their secondary structure includes four short double-helical elements and three loops (D, anti-codon, and T loops). Further hydrogen bonds mediate the characteristic L-shaped molecular structure. tRNAs have two regions of fundamental functional importance: the anti-codon, which is responsible for specific mRNA codon recognition, and the 3' end, to which the tRNAs corresponding amino acid is attached (by aminoacyl-tRNA synthetases). tRNAs cope with the degeneracy of the genetic code in two manners: having more than one tRNA (with a specific anti-codon) for a particular amino acid; and 'wobble' base-pairing, i.e. permitting non-standard base-pairing at the 3rd anti-codon position.